UAUUUCCUUUUAAUCAGGGUGAUAUUUGUCUAUUAGAUACUCCUAGACAAAUAUCAAUUUAAAAAUAAUUGUUAUUUCAAUGCAUUAAUGUUUUAUUUUCUUUUGAUUAGGCUGAAAACCUUGGUCUUCUCUCUGGGGCCGUGGCUGCUUUGACUGCAUACUAUUCAAAAUCGUGCAACCAGAUAUUGUACUCUCCUGUUGAUACUCUCCAGCAGUUAGAACAACUUACAAACACAGUUCUUCUUCUCUUGGUUGAGUCUCAAUUCCUGGAUUGGUGUUUCACGCAAAUCAGGUCUUAUUCUGCUUUUAACAAGAACAGAGAAUCAAAACUUUCUAGGAAGUUUAUCCCCAGUCUUCCAGACUUUGGCUCAUUAGAACUAAUCGAGAAGGCUGGAAUGCAUCCUGUGGAGUCCAUCAUCACUGAACUGCUAGGAUUUACAUCAUCGUUAAUGCAGCUUCUGUUUCAAGUCACAACGUUACACAAAGGAAUUGCUGCAAAGGUAUGUUUCCUACGACUGUUGGAUAUCUAGG
Orbicella faveolata is the source of this 531-nucleotide long non-coding RNA. NCBI's taxonomy places the organism in Eukaryota, Metazoa, Cnidaria, Anthozoa, Scleractinia, Merulinidae. The record is from RefSeq and is a predicted model, not a curated record.